Molecule: long non-coding RNA, 2367 nt
Organism: Serinus canaria (Common canary)
Lineage: Eukaryota; Metazoa; Chordata; Aves; Passeriformes; Fringillidae
Exons: 4
Source: RefSeq, a predicted model, not a curated record
GCCAGUUCCCUUGCAUGUGAGUGGAGCAGUGAAACAGACUUGUUUGUGUUCCCUCCUUCCCCUUCUGUUCCCAAAUGGUGAUUCCCUACCAGGCAAAGAGAGGGAUGAUAUCUGCAAGGACAAGGCUACACUGCAUUUCCACUGCGCCCCACCUUGAACCUGUGUGCAGAGCAAUGGAUGGCUCCCAGAGAACACAGCUCCUGCUGCAAUGCACUGGCUGGGAAGAUGUUUGAGUUGCACAGUUUGACUCAGGACCAAAAUGAAGGAUGGCAUUAUUGCCCGGGGUAACCUUGAAUUAGUCAUCUCAACGUGCACAUCUCAGUGUUCAGGGGAGUGGGAUGGCACUGAUGGCUCUGCAUCAUCCUGGCACAUCAUGUCACAUCUCCCUCAGCCAAUGGCCCUAAAAUGGGGACCAGGAUAUGGGCCCACAGAGGGCAAGUUGUGACAGCAGUGAUAGCAGUGCUGUGCUGGUAUUGCUGGGAAUGGCAGGGAGCACUUCCCAGUCUCCUAUGGGUUGGAGGAUCAAACUCCUAAACAAGCCAGUGAUUCAGACCUUGAUGGUAGCAGCACACAACGUGGGGUAAGAAGAGAACCCCAGGGAGGAAACAGGAGCUUAAAGGACUACAGUAGAUGAAUGUAUUUAAAUCCUUUUAACGAGGACCAAAAAGAGUUGGCUUGGCACAGAUAAGUUUGAAUAUUAAGUAUACACCAAGAACUUGCAAGUUUCAGUCCCUCCAAACUAAUGUGAGAGGCUUACGAAACUCAAAAAUCCAGCUUUGACACAACUGCUGAAAAUGCUUUUAAAGAGAAGCCUCUAUAAGAACUUCCAAAACAAAGAGAAAGGCAGCCCAGAGUGGUAUCCUUGUUACCAGCAUCAGCAGCUAAAUGAGAGAGGCCAGGAGAGGGUGGUCAGCAGUUUGAAGGGAAUUAAAUCUUUCACUUUCUGACCACACAGUUUAGACAGAAGGAGAAGAGUUGGCUGUUUUCAGAUAUCUUUUGUAGCAUUGAGGAGCAACCAUCAAAGGGAAAGCUGUCUGCCUUGUGGGAUAAUCAUUGGGCAAGCAAGAGGAUGCAGCAGAUAAAGAAGAUGAUGCUUACCCAAAGAGGCUGAGCCACAAAGAACAAAGAUAAGUACAGCCUCACCUAUAGUGAAAAUAAAAUGGUAACAAGGGGGAAAAGCAGUGCAAAAGCCUCAGGAAAUCUGGGUUCCUCAAGUGUAUUCUUGCAGCAGUGUGCACUGCCUUAAAUUUCUUACUGAAAUUUUGCUGCUGUGAUCAAGUUUUGAUUUUGUAAUUUAUAGAAGAGGCAUUUGCAGCUCAAGUUCUGUAGUAUUUACAUAGGCAAAAUUCCCAGUGUUUUAAGGGGAUUUUUCCAUGGGUAGGUAUGGGCUCUUAAGUCUUACUUUUGACUGGGUGAGGACUUGGAAUCCACAUAAUUACCACACUGUAAAUAUUAAUAGAUCCUUCCUAAUAGGAAAGUUAUUUGAAUUUAAGAUUGCAGCUUAGUUUCUCUAAGCUCCACAUAAUUUAUUUACUUAAAAUACAGCUUUCAUUCUGCACUUACUAAUCGCCAGCUGUAAAGAUUCAAAAUGCCACACAACAUACAACUUAUUGAUGGAAAUGGCUCUGGAAGUCAUGCAAUGUUGCAUGGAAUGCAUAAACGUAUGUUUAGUGACAUUGCAAAGCCAGGAUUUGGUCCUGGGAGGCUUCAGACUGCUCCCAACUCUGCCCCAUAAUGGAGAUCCAUGAGUUGGAUCCCCUCUUCUGAAUGAUGGAGUUGUGUUUCUUGCCUUCCUUCAGGUUGGUGGUUUCAGAUCAGUGGGUGAUCUGUGAGGAUGCUCCACAAAACAAUCUUGCUCCAUUCAGCUCAAUGCCAAAAAGGAGAGUCCCAGCCAACCAAGUCACAGCUGCUCAGUAUUGCUCCACACACCCAAAUGGCAGCACAGAAUCCCGUGAGCACUCCUGGGAAAUGUGUCCAGACCCACCUGAGUUCGGGAUACAGCCUACCCUUCCUUUUCCUGCCAUGAUUUCUGGAGCAUUAUCCCAAGUUCAAGCAAGCUGUGUGUAUCUCUCUCUGUGAAGAAUGAAAGCUUUGGGGUACAUAUGGACAUUGUAGGAAGUUGGUCAGGGCUCAGGGUAUUCUGCAAGCACUGCAUCUCAGGAAGAUAUGGGAGAUUCCUGCACUGUCGAGGCUCUGCUUCCCAGCCCUGCAACCCUGGCCAGCCAGUAGCAGAGUUGAAGAUGCAUGGCUUUGCAGGGUGCCUGAAAAGUGCACAACACAAAUCUCAUCCUGAACAAAAGUUGCUUGAAUAGCCUCUUAUCUGAGAAAUGCGUAAGAAAACAACUGCUGUAAGAAGUGCCACAAAGG